RNAcentral lists this ribosomal RNA (401 nucleotides) under uncultured bacterium. Its description in RNAcentral is "bacterial SSU rRNA". It matches the Rfam family "Bacterial small subunit ribosomal RNA", at positions 356 to 773 of the family's 1533-position model. The record is from RNAcentral.
AGGGAAUUUUCCACAAUGGACGAAAGUCUGAUGGAGCAACGCCGCGUGCAGGAUGAAGGCCUUCGGGUUGUAAACUGCUUUUAUAUGUGACGAUUAUGACGGUAGCAUAUGAAUAAGGAUCGGCUAACUCCGUGCCAGCAGCCGCGGUCAUACGGAGGAUCCAAGCGUUAUCCGGAAUUACUGGGCGUAAAGAGUUGCGUAGGUGGCAUUGUAAGUUUGUAGUGAAAGCGUGUGGCUCAACCAUAUACACAUUACAAAAACUGCAAAGCUAGAAGAUGAGAGAGGUGCCUGGAAUUCCCAGUGUAGGGGUAAAAUCCGUAGAUAUUGGGAGGAACACCGAUGGCGUAAGCAGGGUGCUGGCUCAUUCUUGACACUAAGGCACGAAAGCGUGGGGAGCAAAC